Molecule: ribosomal RNA, 209 nt
Filed under: uncultured bacterium
Lineage: Bacteria
Description: partial 16S ribosomal RNA
Rfam family: Bacterial small subunit ribosomal RNA
Source: RNAcentral
UCGGAUUGCAGGCUGCAACCCGCCUGCAUGAAGUUGGAAUCGCUAGUAAUCGCGGAUCAGCAUGCCGCGGUGAAUACGUUCCCGGGCCUUGUACACACCGCCCGUCACACCAUGAGAGUCGGGAACACCCGAAGUCCGUAGCCUGACCGCGAAGGGGGGCGCGGCCGAAGGUGGGUUCGAUAAUUGGGGUGAAGUCGUAACAAGGUAUC